RNAcentral lists this ribosomal RNA (376 nucleotides) under uncultured bacterium. RNAcentral describes it as "bacterial SSU rRNA". It matches the Rfam family "Bacterial small subunit ribosomal RNA", at positions 524 to 898 of the family's 1533-position model. The record is from RNAcentral.
UACGUAGGGAGCGAGCGUUGUCCGGAAUUACUGGGCGUAAAGGGCGCGUAGGCGGUUUGGCAAGUCACAUGUGAAAUACCUGGGCUCAACCCGGGGGGUGCAUGUGAAACUGCUAGACUUGAGUGCGGUAGAAGAAAGUGGAAUUCCUAGUGUAGCGGUGAAAUGCGUAGAUAUUAGGAGGAACACCAGUGGCGAAGGCGACUUUCUGGGCCGUAACUGACGCUGAGGCGCGAAAGUGUGUGGAGCAAACAGGAUUAGAUACCCUGGUAGUCCACGCCGUAAACGAUGAAUGCUAGGUGUAGGGGGUAUCGACCCCCUCUGUGCCGCAGCUAACGCAAUAAGCAUUCCGCCUGGGGAGUACGGCCGCAAGGUUGAA